This 2662-nucleotide ribosomal RNA is filed under the name Enterobacter hormaechei. RNAcentral describes it as "bacterial LSU rRNA". It matches the Rfam family "Bacterial large subunit ribosomal RNA". The record is from RNAcentral. Lineage: Bacteria; Pseudomonadati; Pseudomonadota; Gammaproteobacteria; Enterobacterales; Enterobacteriaceae.
UUAAGCGACUAAGCGUACACGGUGGAUGCCCUGGCAGUCAGAGGCGAUGAAGGACGUGCUAAUCUGCGAAAAGCGCCGGCGAGGUGAUAUGAACCUUUGACCCGGCGAUGUCCGAAUGGGGAAACCCAGUGCAAUCCGUUGCACUAUCGUUAACUGAAUACAUAGGUUAACGAGGCGAACCGGGGGAACUGAAACAUCUAAGUACCCCGAGGAAAAGAAAUCAACCGAGAUUCCCCCAGUAGCGGCGAGCGAACGGGGAGCAGCCCGGAGUCUGAAUCAGCUUGUGUGUUAGUGGAACGGUCUGGAAAGUCCGACGGUACAGGGUGAUAGUCCCGUACACGAAAGCACACUUGCUGUGAACUCGAAGAGUAGGGCGGGACACGUGGUAUCCUGUCUGAAUAUGGGGGGACCAUCCUCCAAGGCUAAAUACUCCUGACUGACCGAUAGUGAACCAGUACCGUGAGGGAAAGGCGAAAAGAACCCCGGCGAGGGGAGUGAAAAAGAACCUGAAACCGUGUACGUACAAGCAGUGGGAGCCUCUUUAUGGGGUGACUGCGUACCUUUUGUAUAAUGGGUCAGCGACUUAUAUUCUGUAGCAAGGUUAACCGUAUAGGGGAGCCGAAGGGAAACCGAGUCUUAACUGGGCGUUAAGUUGCAGGGUAUAGACCCGAAACCCGGUGAUCUAGCCAUGGGCAGGUUGAAGGUUGGGUAACACUAACUGGAGGACCGAACCGACUAAUGUUGAAAAAUUAGCGGAUGACCUGUGGCUGGGGGUGAAAGGCCAAUCAAACCGGGAGAUAGCUGGUUCUCCCCGAAAGCUAUUUAGGUAGCGCCUCGUGAACUCAUCUUCGGGGGUAGAGCACUGUUUCGGCUAGGGGGCCAUCCCGGCUUACCAACCCGAUGCAAACUACGAAUACCGAAGAAUGUUAUCACGGGAGACACACGGCGGGUGCUAACGUCCGUCGUGAAGAGGGAAACAACCCAGACCGCCAGCUAAGGUCCCAAAGUCAUGGUUAAGUGGGAAACGAUGUGGGAAGGCACAGACAGCCAGGAUGUUGGCUUAGAAGCAGCCAUCAUUUAAAGAAAGCGUAAUAGCUCACUGGUCGAGUCGGCCUGCGCGGAAGAUGUAACGGGGCUAAACCAUGCACCGAAGCUGCGGCAGCGACGCUUAUGCGUUGUUGGGUAGGGGAGCGUUCUGUAAGCCGUUGAAGGUGUNNNNNNNNNNNNNNNNNNNNNNNNNNNNNNNNNNNNNNNNNNNNNNNUUAACGCUGAGGUGUGAUGACGAGGCACUACGGUGCUGAAGUGAUAAAUGCCCUGCUUCCAGGAAAAGCCUCUAAGCAUCAGGUAACACGAAAUCGUACCCCAAACCGACACAGGUGGUCAGGUAGAGAAUACCAAGGCGCUUGAGAGAACUCGGGUGAAGGAACUAGGCAAAAUGGUGCCGUAACUUCGGGAGAAGGCACGCUGAUAUGUAGGUGAAGUCCCUGCGGACGGAGCUGAAAUCAGUCGAAGAUACCAGCUGGCUGCAACUGUUUAUUAAAAACACAGCACUGUGCAAACACGAAAGUGGACGUAUACGGUGUGACGCCUGCCCGGUGCCGGAAGGUUAAUUGAUGGGGUUAGCGGCAACGCGAAGCUCUUGAUCGAAGCCCCGGUAAACGGCGGCCGUAACUAUAACGGUCCUAAGGUAGCGAAAUUCCUUGUCGGGUAAGUUCCGACCUGCACGAAUGGCGUAAUGAUGGCCAGGCUGUCUCCACCCGAGACUCAGUGAAAUUGAACUCGCUGUGAAGAUGCAGUGUACCCGCGGCAAGACGGAAAGACCCCGUGAACCUUUACUAUAGCUUGACACUGAACACUGGUCCUUGAUGUGUAGGAUAGGUGGGAGGCUUUGAAGCGUGGACGCCAGUCUGCGUGGAGCCAACCUUGAAAUACCACCCUUUAAUGGCUGGUGUUCUAACGUAGACCCGUAAUCCGGGUUGCGGACAGUGUCUGGUGGGUAGUUUGACUGGGGCGGUCUCCUCCCAAAGAGUAACGGAGGAGCACGAAGGUUGGCUAAUCCUGGUCGGACAUCAGGAGGUUAGUGCAAUGGCAUAAGCCAGCUUGACUGCGAGCGUGACGGCGCGAGCAGGUGCGAAAGCAGGUCAUAGUGAUCCGGUGGUUCUGAAUGGAAGGGCCAUCGCUCAACGGAUAAAAGGUACUCCGGGGAUAACAGGCUGAUACCGCCCAAGAGUUCAUAUCGACGGCGGUGUUUGGCACCUCGAUGUCGGCUCAUCACAUCCUGGGGCUGAAGUAGGUCCCAAGGGUAUGGCUGUUCGCCAUUUAAAGUGGUACGCGAGCUGGGUUUAGAACGUCGUGAGACAGUUCGGUCCCUAUCUGCCGUGGGCGCUGGAGAAUUGAGGGGGGCUGCUCCUAGUACGAGAGGACCGGAGUGGACGCAUCACUGGUGUUCGGGUUGUCAUGCCAAUGGCACUGCCCGGUAGCUAAAUGCGGAAGAGAUAAGUGCUGAAAGCAUCUAAGCACGAAACUUGCCCCGAGAUGAGUUCUCCCUGAGACUUUAAGUCUCCUGAAGGAACGUUGAAGACGACGACGUUGAUAGGUCGGGUGUGUAAGCGCAGCGAUGCGUUGAGCUAACCGAUACUAAUGAACCGUGAGGCUUAACCUU